UACGUAAGGUGCGAGCGUUAAUCGGAAUUACUGGGCGUAAAGCGUGCGUAGGUGGUUCGUUAAGUCUGAUGUGAAAGCCCUGGGCUCAACCUGGGAAUGGCAUUGGAAACUGGCGACCUAGAGUGCGGUAGAGGGUAGUGGAAUUCCCGGUGUAGCAGUGAAAUGCGUAGAGAUCGGGAGGAACAUCUGUGGCGAAGGCGACUGCCUGGACCAGCACCGACACUGAGGCACGAAAGCGUGGGGAGCAAACAGG
Molecule: ribosomal RNA, 253 nt
Filed under: uncultured bacterium
Lineage: Bacteria
Description: partial 16S ribosomal RNA
Rfam family: Bacterial small subunit ribosomal RNA
Source: RNAcentral